CUCUUCAAAGUAUUUGUUUUUUCAAGCCAAGAAAUUAGAGAGAGAGAAAUAUCAAAAGUAUUUGUCAAAACUUAAUGUGCGGAACUCGCCUAGAAAAAGCUAAAACAAAGCUUUAAAUAGUUCACCCUAAUUAUGAAAACAAAAUAAUAGAAUUCAGAAAUCCCUUGGAUUAGGUGACGACAUUUGUGAUAUCCCAUCAGGAGGAUGACGACUUAUCACAAAUGUCUUUAGCUUUGGCUCUUCCUGUUUAAGGCUGAUGAAAAACUUGACAACUUAUCAACUUCGUGAUGGCCUAUCAUAAAAUAUCAUCAAAUCUCUGCUUCAGUUCUCCUGUGCUGCCUCAGGCUAACAACAUUCUUGACAGCUUAUCAGACCCUUGACGACUUAUC
This 389-nucleotide long non-coding RNA is filed under the name Capsicum annuum. RNAcentral describes it as "long non-coding RNA (CANN_LNC012766)". Lineage: Eukaryota; Viridiplantae; Streptophyta; Magnoliopsida; Solanales; Solanaceae. The record is from RNAcentral.